RNAcentral lists this unclassified non-coding RNA (1891 nucleotides) under Monomorium pharaonis (pharaoh ant). Its description in RNAcentral is "e3 ubiquitin-protein ligase PPP1R11, transcript variant X2". The record is from RNAcentral. Lineage: Eukaryota; Metazoa; Arthropoda; Insecta; Hymenoptera; Formicidae.
GGGGAGAGAAGGGCGUGAGACACGUAGGGGGCGUAGGGGUUAGGUUUGAUGCGGCGAUAUCGUGCGUGUCUCUCGCGCUCAAAGGUAUCGCGCGUCCGCGACGACGACACAUGGAGAGAACGAUGUCGGAGCAACCGGCUUUGCAGACGCAAACGGAAACAAUCUCCCCUGCGGACGUCACCGAUUCCGGGUCGCAGGAUGUACCUACUGUACGAUUACGUCUACGAAAGCCAAAAUCAAAUAAAAAGGUUCAGUGGACUCAAGGGACUGUAGAUAAUGAAAAUUUAAAUAAAAAGAAAUCAAAAUGUUGUUGUAUUUAUGAGAAACCAAAAACUUUUGGUGAAAGUAGUUCCGAAGAUAGUGAUGAUGAAUGUGAACAUUGUCAUGGAGAUAAAGAUUCUCAUAAGAAAGUAUUACCUAAACCUGGUGAUCCUGCGCGAGAAGGAAUGUCUUCACAUCCUGAACCGAUUGCAACAGGAUCAACAUAGUGCGUUUUCAUGCUUACUGACGUUUCCCUAAAUGGAAAACAAAUUCCUUUAUGCUAUUUCUGGAAUCAGUGUGUCAUACCGAAAAAGAUGAUGGAUUGUAGGUACACAAACGAUAACUAUGAUUUUGCACUAGUACAUGUCUUUAUAUUACAGUGCUUUAACAAUACCGCGCAGAUUACAAAAUGUUGUUCAAAUUGUUAAUUGUUAUAUACGGAUCUUGAGAAUAGUACAUUGUCCAACAUUCUUUGGAAAGUAACUUUAUCAUUCCAUAUAUAUAUAUAUUAUAUUUCCAAAUUAAUGUCAUUUUCUUUAUAUGUACUAUUUGUUAUUUACUAUCUAAUAUAGAAAUUUAGAUCAAUUUAGAUUUUAAGUGCUAAGAAAAUACGUGUUGUUACUUUUUGUGACUUACAUUAAUAAUUUAAUUACAAUAAUAUUGGUUCACACAUUUCAUUAUUACCAAAUGAAGUUUAGAAUCAUUUUCUGAUACGCAGGAAGAUGAGGAAUAUGUUAAAAUUUUAUUUUUGUUUGGGAAAUUUAUUAUAUUUAUAAUCUUAUUAUUGAUAUAUACAAGCUCAAAAAAUGAACUAAUGUAUUACAAGUUACGGCAUGUAUUAUCGUAUGUCAUAAUUAUAACUAAUUAUAUCUCAUUACAUACGACAAAGAAAAGAUAAAAGAUACAAAAUAGUGCACAUUUACAUUUAUUCCUUGUUUUCUCUAUCUAUAAGUAGACAAAUAAAAUUUGUAAAUAUUUCAAAUACAUUAUAUAUAAGACAAAAUAAAAUAAAGAUUCGAUAGAUCAUAUUCAUAAAAAGAAACAGAAUUAUCAGAAAAAAAUUAAUAUUCGUUGCACACUUUCAUUAAAAGUUUCAGCUUUUCUUUUUUUUCUUCAAAAAUUAAAACUUUUAAAUCUAGUUCCAUAUACAUAGACUUUAUAGUUAAAUUUCAAGUUGACGAUUUAAAAAUAUAACAUGGAAUAAAAUGGGACAUUUUUUAUCAUUAGGCAGAUCACUAAUCUAAUAUUUAUGAGUUGAAAAUGUUAAAAUAGUUUGAUAAUAAUCUGAGUAAGAAUGAUGUAAUUUUAAAAUCUUUUGUGUUAGAUAUUUUAUAAUUUUGCAUAACAGAUACAUCAACAAUAUUCUUAUGAUAUUUUUAUUCUUUUAACAACUUUCUUAGUAAUUUUUAAUUUUUUUUUUCAAAAUAGAAGUACUCAUCUAAUAAGAUUCUAUAUUGUCAAGAAAUGAAAGUCUGCAUAUCCAUUUACAUAAUUUCAGAUAAUCAAAAAUAUAUUCUCAUCAUAUUAGUGCUUUUACGCAAUAAUAGCAUUCUGGACGAUUUUGUAUAGUAUAACUUAAGUGCAAAAUAUAUCUCUAAGAUCUUGUAAAAAUAAAUGUUUAAAUUGGAAA